CCUCUUUUUGGUGUGUACUGUGCAUGCAUACACACACCUUACAUUUGGUGCGAGGUGCGCACUGAACAUAAGUGCGCGCAGCGCGCAUGCACAGCCAGAAAACCCGUAGUAAACCGGUUCAGAUUUCACCACUGGCCCAAAGGCAGCAGAGGCGGAGAACCAAGGUGGCUAAAAUGUCUGGAGAAAGCGGGCACGGAUAAAGCCUUGAAAAUCCAGAAGACUUCGUGAACAUCAGACCUUGUCCUGCUUUCUCGUUCACCUCCAGAAAGUUGGGAGAAUUUUGUACCUCUUGCCUGAAGUUGCAUCCUUCUGCUCUUCUCCGCUAUUUGACGUCGUUAACCAUUAAGUAAAUUUCACCUGGGCUGACUGCGGGAAACUGAUCACCCUUCAAGCAAAAACACCCAAGCGUGUUUAGAUAUAGGUUGUUGUUUGAACACCAUGUGGAGACCUUCUGGACUUCCUCCUUGUAUGCUGAUUCGUCCCCUCCAGUUAUAAGACCCAGCACGGUUGUGUCAUCUGCAAACUUUAUUAUGGUGUUGGAUGGAUCAGAGGAUAUGCAGUCAUGUGUAUACAGCAAGUACAGGUAGGCGCCAAGAUGGCAGCAGCAAAGGGGUGCUAGGUGACACAUAUUUUUUUAAAAAUGGUAGAGCUUCCAUCACACUGUGAUGGUUCCCCUCUUGACUUUUCUGAUAUGCCUUAAGGACACCCCCUAUUCCCAUAAAUCACCUCAACUUCUUUUGAGAGUCCAAAGAGUUUCUGAACUUGCACUUGUGUAGUGGUGU
Long non-coding RNA from Ahaetulla prasina, 782 nucleotides. RefSeq lists it as uncharacterized. NCBI's taxonomy places the organism in Eukaryota, Metazoa, Chordata, Lepidosauria, Squamata, Colubridae. The record is from RefSeq and is a predicted model, not a curated record. The transcript is spliced from 3 exons.